Long non-coding RNA from Myotis brandtii (Brandt's bat), 166 nucleotides. RefSeq lists it as uncharacterized. The transcript is spliced from 2 exons. The record is from RefSeq and is a predicted model, not a curated record. NCBI's taxonomy places the organism in Eukaryota, Metazoa, Chordata, Mammalia, Chiroptera, Vespertilionidae.
UCUAGUUGUUUAUAAUUAGCCUUUUUUCUUGUUUUCAUAGACAUACCCCUGGUUGACUACCUGAUUGCUUGCUUAUAGAAUAUAGAUGUUAGGAUGUUUGCCUUAGCCUAACUUGAAUUAAGUAUCCUUUACAAGAGGGAAAAAAACAACCAACCAAACAAACAAA